This 253-nucleotide ribosomal RNA is filed under the name uncultured bacterium. RNAcentral's name for it is "partial 16S ribosomal RNA". It matches the Rfam family "Bacterial small subunit ribosomal RNA", at positions 524 to 776 of the family's 1533-position model. The record is from RNAcentral.
GACGAACCGUGCGAACGUUGUUCGGAAUCACUGGGCUUAAAGGGCUCGUAGGCGGCCCACUAAGUCAGACGUGAAAUCCCUCGGCUUAACCGGGGAACUGCGUCUGAUACUGGAGGGCUUGAGUUUGGGAGAGGGAUGCGGAAUUCCAGGUGUAGCGGUGAAAUGCGUAGAUAUCUGGAGGAACACCGGUGGCGAAGGCGGCAUCCUGGACCAACACUGACGCUGAGGAGCGAAAGCCAGGGGAGCAAACGGG